GGGCCCGUUGCCUAGCCAGGAAACAUACACAUUCUAUGUGUUCUUUGGUAUAUAGGGCGCCAGCCUUCUAAGUUGGAGACCGUGUGUUCGAAUCACACCGGGCCCGCCA
This 109-nucleotide transfer RNA is filed under the name Candidatus Thorarchaeota archaeon. Its description in RNAcentral is "tRNA-Arg". It matches the Rfam family "tRNA". From Rfam's summary of the family: Transfer RNA (tRNA) molecules are approximately 80 nucleotides in length. Their secondary structure includes four short double-helical elements and three loops (D, anti-codon, and T loops). Further hydrogen bonds mediate the characteristic L-shaped molecular structure. tRNAs have two regions of fundamental functional importance: the anti-codon, which is responsible for specific mRNA codon recognition, and the 3' end, to which the tRNAs corresponding amino acid is attached (by aminoacyl-tRNA synthetases). tRNAs cope with the degeneracy of the genetic code in two manners: having more than one tRNA (with a specific anti-codon) for a particular amino acid; and 'wobble' base-pairing, i.e. permitting non-standard base-pairing at the 3rd anti-codon position. The record is from RNAcentral. Lineage: Archaea; Promethearchaeati; Candidatus Thorarchaeota.